AUUGAACGCUGGCGGCAGGCCUAACACAUGCAAGUCGAGCGAGCGGCGGACGGGUGAGUAAUGUCUGGGAAACUGCCUGAUGGAGGGGGCUAACUACUGGAAACGGUAGCUAAUACCGCAUACCAUCAGAUGUGCCCAUAUGGGAUUAGCUAGUAGGUGGGGUAACGGCUCACCUAGGCGACGAUCCCUAGCUGGUCUGAGAGGAUGAUCAGCAACACGGGAACUGAGACACGGUCCAGACUCCUACGGGAGGCAGCAGUGGGGAAUAUUGCACAAUGGGCGCAAGCCUGAUGCAGCCAUGCCGCGGGUAUGAAGAAGGCCUUCGGGUUGUAAAGUACUUUCAGCCGGGAGGCGUUACCCGCAGAAGAAGCACCGGCUAACUCCGUGCCAGCAGCCGCGGUAAUAC
RNAcentral lists this ribosomal RNA (406 nucleotides) under uncultured bacterium. Its description in RNAcentral is "partial 16S ribosomal RNA". It matches the Rfam family "Bacterial small subunit ribosomal RNA", at positions 30 to 526 of the family's 1533-position model. The record is from RNAcentral.